CGGAAACGGACGCUAAUACCGCAUACGUCCUACGGGAGAAAGCAGGGGACCUUCGGGCCUUGCGCUAUCAGAUGAGCCUAGGUCGGAUUAGCUAGUUGGUGAGGUAAUGGCUCACCAAGGCGACGAUCCGUAACUGGUCUGAGAGGAUGAUCAGUCACACUGGAACUGAGACACGGUCCAGACUCCUACGGGAGGCAGCAGUGGGGAAUAUUGGACAAUGGGCGAAAGCCUGAUCCAGCCAUGCCGCGUGUGUGAAGAAGGUCUUCGGAUUGUAAAGCACUUUAAGUUGGGAGGAAGGGCAGUUGCCUAAUACGUAACUGUUUUGACGUUACCGACAGAAUAAGCACCGGCUAACUCUGUGCCAGCAGCCGCGGUAAUACAGAGGGUGCAAGCGUUAAUCGGAAUUACUGGGCGUAAAGCGCGCGUAGGUGGUUUGUUAAGUUGGAUGUGAAAUCCCCGGGCUCAACCUGGGAACUGCAUUCAAACUGACUGACUAGAGUAUGGUAGAGGGUGGUGGAAUUUCCUGUGUAGCGGUGAAAUGCGUAGAUAUA
Molecule: ribosomal RNA, 551 nt
Filed under: Pseudomonas sp.
Lineage: Bacteria; Pseudomonadati; Pseudomonadota; Gammaproteobacteria; Pseudomonadales; Pseudomonadaceae
Description: bacterial SSU rRNA
Rfam family: Bacterial small subunit ribosomal RNA
Source: RNAcentral